GACGAACGCUGGCGGCGUGCUUAACACAUGCAAGUCGAACGGAAAGGCCCUGCUUUUGUUGGGUGCUCGAGUGGCGAAGGGGUGAGUAACGCGGGAGUAACCUGCCCUUGACUUUGGGAUAACUUCAGGUAACUGGGGCUAAUACCGGAUAGGAGCUCCUGCUGCUUGGUGGGGGUUGGAAAGUUUCGGCGGUUGGGGAUGGACUCGCGGCUUAUCAGCUUGUUGGUGGGGUAGUGGCUUACCAAGGUUUUGACGGGUAGCCGGCCUGAGAGGGUGACCGGCCACAUUGGGACUGGGAUACGGCCCAGACUCCUACGGGAGGCAGCAGUGGGGAAUAUUGCACAAUGGGCGGAAGCCUGAUGCAGCAACGCCGCGUGCGGGAUGACGGCCUUCGGGUUGUAAACCGCUUUCGCCUGUGACGAAGCGUGAGUGACGGUAAUGGGUAAAGAAGCACCGGCUAACUACGUG
This 468-nucleotide ribosomal RNA is filed under the name uncultured bacterium. RNAcentral describes it as "partial 16S ribosomal RNA". It matches the Rfam family "Bacterial small subunit ribosomal RNA", at positions 28 to 507 of the family's 1533-position model. The record is from RNAcentral.